ACCAGACCAAGUUGCUCAUCACACGUCAAGGGAACCCCUGAGAAGUCCUUAUAGCACAUACUAUAGGAAUGUGAUGAUGCAUGCUACUUUCUUCUCAUCAUCAGGACUACCCCUCUGAAUGGUCUCCAGCAAGCAGUUUGCUGUUCUUCCAUGCUUCAACUCCAGGAUCCUAUCUAGCUUGAUGUGUCAUUGAAAACCUUUGAUCAGUGAUAAUCAGACCAGGGCUUGAGACCCACGAGCAACUCUUCAAUAUAUUACCUGCAGCUCCUUGCAGAAAAGGUAAUGUGAAUUACGCAAUAGCUGGACACAUCAAAGCAUUCAGAAAUAUACAUCUCAGCCAUAUCCUGAGGACUAGUUCCCUGUGGAUUUCACUACUGUGGGUUAAGUGUUGUCACCUCGCAGCAGAGUGAGAUAUAAUCACAGGUCAGCCUCAAGCAGCAUGUGAUGUUUGUGGUAUGUGUUUAAAGAAGAAACGCCAUCUUCCCCUAAAAAGGCCCAAUCCUGCAAGAUGUUGAGCUUCCCCACCUUCCAUUGACAUGAACAGAGGCUGAAAGGCAUAUAUAUCAUCUUGCAGUGGUUGACUUGAAAAUAUGCUUAUGAUCACAGGUCUUCCAAUAAGUAACAGUAAUUAUUUGGAAGGGGAAGAAAUGGUGCAAACAGAAAGCAUUGUGUCCUAUGGCCAGCAUCCUUUUCUAGGCCUGAUAGUAACUACAGGAUAAGCAUUUUUCCAACAACUACACCAAGGUUAACUUCUGGAACUGGAGUGAAAGAGGAGAAAUUAAGUCAUCAGUGGGCCCUUUUUCUUGGAAUAGCCCUGAAAGUUUCCAACAGUGGCUGGGCAUUAAGCAGUGGCAAAACCACUGAGUUCACACCAGUAAGGCUUUACAGGACUGGCAUUAGGUAUGGCAAAGACACUUCCAAAGGAGCAGGGCAAUAAAAGUUACUGGCCUUGAUCCUACCAUUGUCCUCAUUUCAGGCAAGAGUACAGUCAUCAGAGGGAAUUUUGCCUGCCUCCGGCCUCGAAGGUCAGCCCCAUUGUGUUUGUACAACAUGCCUAGUUUAAACAUUGACCCACACAUUCUGAAAGCAUUGAACAGAGUUUUCCUGAACAAGAAUCACUGACUUUAAGGGAGUCCCUGAGCAACCCUUUAAGAAUAUACAUGUCAGAGUUGAAGCUCUCGCUUCAUUCUUGACUGUUCCUAGGCAUUGAAGCACACAUGAUAUGCAACAUUUGGCACUCUUCCAACCCCCUAACAGCACUCUGAAUAGACAAAGUAAGAGAUAAGAGUGAGAGGUUUAUUUAACUGUGAAUAUUUGCUGAUGUUAGGCUGUCAAAUAUUAGUUUGAUGGGGUUUUUUUCUCCCUUUAAUUCAUAAGUUUUUAAAAUUGGUGUAUCUUUAAGACAGACCCUUAGACGGACACAAUAUUCUUCCUGUCCUCUUUGUCACCCUUAUUACAUAAUAAGAGUUAUAUAGAGUCUAAUAAAGGCUAUAAUCCACAUAAUAAAGUGGAUUACAACCUUUAUUAGAGCACUUUGCACCACACACAUUUGAGUGCCAAGGGUGCAAGAUCACACUCUGUAGGCUGUGCAGUUCUCAUAAUUUAAUUGACCCUCUUCAUUCUCUCAUACUUCAGUGAGCUUGCCUUAUUCUCUCUGACUGGUUUCUCUGUUUUCUGCAUCAGUGGCAGCAAUCACGAACAUUUAGUAGCUUUCUCUCACACCAGCCUUUGUGCUUUCUUCAACAUUGUGCCAUAUGCCUCCUUAAAACAAAACUGUAUUUUCUUCUCAAAAUUCACAGCCAUUGUGAUGACAGAGAAGUCAGCUGCUGUUAAGGUCAAAUCACAGGCAGAAAUGAUAUUCUGUAUGACAGUUCUCAUGAUUUAUGGUUCUUUUUUCAUAAUGGCUCAGAUCCUAGAAUGACACAAUUAUGUUAGAAUCUUGUAGUUCUUGGGGAUGACAAAGGGGGCAGGGAAAGGGAUAGGGACUAAGUUUCUAGCUCUCGUGGUCACAGAACAUUUGGAAAAUGUGAACUCCAAAGCCAGAAGGUAAAUAAAAGCCCCAACUGUAUUGUU
This is a long non-coding RNA of Alligator sinensis (Chinese alligator), 2073 nucleotides long. RefSeq lists it as uncharacterized. The transcript has 4 exons. Lineage: Eukaryota; Metazoa; Chordata; Crocodylia; Alligatoridae. The record is from RefSeq and is a predicted model, not a curated record.